AUUGAACGCUGGCGGCAGGCCUAACACAUGCAAGUCGAACGGUAGCACAGAGAGCUUGCUCUCGGGUGACGAGUGGCGGACGGGUGAGUAAUGUCUGGGAAACUGCCCGAUGGAGGGGGAUAACUACUGGAAACGGUAGCUAAUACCGCAUAACGUCUUCGGACCAAAGUGGGGGACCUUCGGGCCUCACACCAUCGGAUGUGCCCAGAUGGGAUUAGCUAGUAGGUGGGGUAAUGGCUCACCUAGGCGACGAUCCCUAGCUGGUCUGGGAGGAUGACCAGCCACACUGGAACGGGGACACGGUCCAGACUCCUACGGGAGGCAGCAGUGGGGAAUAUUGCACAAUGGGCGCAAGCCUGAUGCAGCCAUGCCGCGUGUAUGAAGAAGGCCUUCGGGUUGUAAAGUACUUUCAGCGGGGAGGAAGGCGUUAAGGUUAAUAACCUUGGCGAUUGACGUUACCCGCAGAAGAAGCACCGGCUAACUCCGUGCCAGCAGCCGCAGUAA
Molecule: ribosomal RNA, 504 nt
Filed under: uncultured bacterium
Lineage: Bacteria
Description: partial 16S ribosomal RNA
Rfam family: Bacterial small subunit ribosomal RNA
Source: RNAcentral